UGAAUAUAGUUUAAUAAAAAUUCUAGCCUGUGAUUCUAGAGACGAGGACUAAUCAGCCUCUAUUCACC
Molecule: transfer RNA, 68 nt
Filed under: Osteocephalus mimeticus (Henle's slender-legged treefrog)
Lineage: Eukaryota; Metazoa; Chordata; Amphibia; Anura; Hylidae
Description: tRNA-His
Source: RNAcentral